UACGUAGGGGGCGAGCGUUGUCCGGAUUUACUGGGCGUAAAACGCUUGUAGGCGGCCACGCCAAGUCGGACGUGAAAUCUCCCGGCUUAACUGGGAGGGGUCAUUGGAAACUGCCGAGCUUGAGGCGAUGAGAGGGGUGUAGAAUUCCCGGUGUAGUGGUGGAAUGCGUAGAUAUCGGGAGGAAUACCAAUGGCGAAGGCAGCUCGCUGGGACGGUACUGACGCUGAGGCGCGAAAGCGUGGGGAGCAAACAGG
Molecule: ribosomal RNA, 254 nt
Filed under: uncultured bacterium
Lineage: Bacteria
Description: partial 16S ribosomal RNA
Rfam family: Bacterial small subunit ribosomal RNA
Source: RNAcentral